UUUUUUGCUCUUUUUGUCAUUUUAGCGACACCACGUCGUGGUAAAUUCAUAUGGCCCGAUGAUUCUAAGCCCAGAAGAUGAGCACACAACGUGUAUUCGAAAUCCAUGAUGUAGGCUUUAAAAAGUCACCGGGGGGGGGGGGGGGGGGUNNNNNNNNNNNNNNNNNNNNNNNNNNNNNNNNNNNNNNNGGGGGGCAGUAUAGGUUGCUUACCUUUUGACCAACCCCAUUUGCCUAACACACGCAUGGACGAAGAACGAGCAACCCCACACCUGAUUUUUUGCAUUUUACUUCCAAAAUUUACGGUUUUAUUUGUUUCCUAACUGCAUUUGGUAAGUGUUACAUUCCAUAAUCUAGUUAAUUCCCCUCAUUUUAUGCAUUUAGUUUUUAGGGUUUGUCUUAGGGUUAAAAUACCCAAAAUUAAGUCACUUGGUUGAUUAAUUUCGAAUGCAUGUAUGAUGUAAGACCUUAGAUAUAUAGGAUAGACAAACCCCAAGUGCUAUUGUUAGUUAGUUUUGACCUUACUUGUACGGAUUUGUAUUCUCGACAUGAACCGUGUCCAUGACGUGGAUUUGAAACCCACGAUGUGGAUUCUGAGAAACCGGUUUUUUGCUUUGUUUUGCUAUUUAAUAUCUUGGUGGGUUUGGUUUGUUUUGUCUGUUAUUAUUUAUUUCAGGAACAAAUGGGUCGAAUAGCUAGUAGGAUAGUAGGUAAAAUUAGGUGUAACUAUUUGCACGCAUCAAUAAGCCAUGAUUCGGGCUAUGAUGGCCGAACAGAAGGAAGCGAUAAGGUAGAUGUUGCAAGUAAAUAGGGAUGAACCUAUUGUGACCAUUAUCCAACUUGAGCUAAUCACCAAACAGUCAGAGGAAGGAAAUUACAAUUGCACUGUGAUCCAAUUGGAACCCCCAAUGGUAAGAAGGAAUGACCCGAAGAGGGGAAUCAACAGAGAUGAAUGUAUGUAUAAGAACUUCUUGUGUGCCAAACCACCAAGUCUUUCUACAAGCCCAAAUGCUGUAUAGAUUAUGGAUUGGAUCUCUGAAAUGGAGAUGGUAUUUGAAAGCUGCAACUGUAACGACAAUCAGAAAACCGUCUUUGUAGUCAGACAACUAAAGACCGGAGUCUUGAGCUGGUGGAAGUUAUUGGUAGAUACAAUGCCACAAGGAGAAGCCCUGAAAAUGUCUUGAGAAGUGUUCAUGGAGUAGUUGAAAAUGCAAUACUACUUAGAGAUAGAUCUGAAUAAUAAAUUUCAGAACUUGAAGAAAGGAAAGAUGAGUGUUGAUGACUAUGCCACCGUAUUCACUUAAAGAAUGAAGUUAUUUCCCUACUAGGUGCCUAUUAAACUAGCUAAGAUAGAGAAAUUUGCUAACAGAUUUCCAUCAGACUAUGGGGU
RNAcentral lists this long non-coding RNA (1388 nucleotides) under Lactuca sativa (garden lettuce). Its description in RNAcentral is "long non-coding RNA (LSAT_LNC007229)". Lineage: Eukaryota; Viridiplantae; Streptophyta; Magnoliopsida; Asterales; Asteraceae. The record is from RNAcentral.